GUAAACACAGGGCGAUGAGCGGGGGUAAGUCGUGGUGGGCGGUGGUUGGACGGAAUGAUGUGGGUGAAGUAGCUCUGGGGUGGGUUGGCGGGUCGAGUGUGAAAACCUACAGCUUAACGUGGGGCGUGCAGGCGAUACGGGCAGACUUGAGUUCGGUAGGGGAGACUGGAAUUCCUGGUGUAGCGGGGAAAUGCGCAGAUAUCAGGAGGAACACCGGUGGCGAAGGCGGGUCUCUGGGCCGAUACUGACGCUGAGGAGCGAAAGCGUGGGGAGCGAACAGGAUUAGAUACCCUAGUAGUC
This 300-nucleotide ribosomal RNA is filed under the name uncultured Spirochaeta sp. RNAcentral describes it as "bacterial SSU rRNA". The stretch from base 52 to 300 matches the Rfam family "Bacterial small subunit ribosomal RNA", at positions 547 to 795 of the family's 1533-position model. Lineage: Bacteria; Pseudomonadati; Spirochaetota; Spirochaetia; Spirochaetales; Spirochaetaceae. The record is from RNAcentral.